Molecule: ribosomal RNA, 750 nt
Filed under: Bacillus thuringiensis
Lineage: Bacteria; Bacillati; Bacillota; Bacilli; Caryophanales; Bacillaceae
Description: bacterial SSU rRNA
Rfam family: Bacterial small subunit ribosomal RNA
Source: RNAcentral
UCGAGCGAAUGGAUUAAGAGCUUGCUCUUAUGAAGUUAGCGGCGGACGGGUGAGUAACACGUGGGUAACCUGCCCAUAAGACUGGGAUAACUCCGGGAAACCGGGGCUAAUACCGGAUAACAUUUUGAACCGCAUGGUUCGAAAUUGAAAGGCGGCUUCGGCUGUCACUUAUGGAUGGACCCGCGUCGCAUUAGCUAGUUGGUGAGGUAACGGCUCACCAAGGCAACGAUGCGUAGCCGACCUGAGAGGGUGAUCGGCCACACUGGGACUGAGACACGGCCCAGACUCCUACGGGAGGCAGCAGUAGGGAAUCUUCCGCAAUGGACGAAAGUCUGACGGAGCAACGCCGCGUGAGUGAUGAAGGCUUUCGGGUCGUAAAACUCUGUUGUUAGGGAAGAACAAGUGCUAGUUGAAUAAGCUGGCACCUUGACGGUACCUAACCAGAAAGCCACGGCUAACUACGUGCCAGCAGCCGCGGUAAUACGUAGGUGGCAAGCGUUAUCCGGAAUUAUUGGGCGUAAAGCGCGCGCAGGUGGUUUCUUAAGUCUGAUGUGAAAGCCCACGGCUCAACCGUGGAGGGUCAUUGGAAACUGGGAGACUUGAGUGCAGAAGAGGAAAGUGGAAUUCCAUGUGUAGCGGUGAAAUGCGUAGAGAUAUGGAGGAACACCAGUGGCGAAGGCGACUUUCUGGUCUGUAACUGACACUGAGGCGCGAAAGCGUGGGGGAGCAAACAGGAUUAGAUACCCUGGG